This 460-nucleotide ribosomal RNA is filed under the name uncultured bacterium. RNAcentral's name for it is "partial 16S ribosomal RNA". It matches the Rfam family "Bacterial small subunit ribosomal RNA", at positions 338 to 795 of the family's 1533-position model. The record is from RNAcentral.
CCUACGGGGGGCUGCAGUGAGGAAUAUUGGUCAAUGGACGAGAGUCUGAACCAGCCAAGUAGCGUGAAGGAUGACUGCCCUAUGGGUUGUAAACUUCUUUUAUAUGGGAAUAAAACGUUCCACGUGUGGGAUUUUGUAUGUACCAUAUGAAUAAGGAUCGGCUAACUCCGGGCCAGCAGCCGCGGUAAUACGGAGGAUCCGAGCGUUAUCCGGAUUUAUUGGGUUUAAAGGGAGCGUAGGUGGAUUGUUAAGUCAGUUGUGAAAGUUUGCGGCUCAACCGUAAAAUUGCAGUUGAAACUGGCAGUCUUGAGUACAGUAGAGGUGGGCGGAAUUCGUGGUGUAGCGGUGAAAUGCUUAGAUAUCACGAAGAACUCCGAUUGCGAAGGCAGUUCACUGGACUGCAACUGACACUGAGGCUCGAAAGUGUGGGUAUCAAACAGGAUUAGAUACCCGUGUAGUC